CUCUGAUGGUGAAGGAAGUCUCCCAGCAGGCCAGCAGAUGGCAGUAAGAGCUUGGUGCUUCAGUAUCAUUAUACGGAGAAACAAUACCCCCAAGGUCAGCAAGACAUUUGGGAGGCUGCCAGUACGCCUGCUCAGAUGUCUCCUCUCGGCCCCCGCGUCCUCGGCCGGUCGUUCCCAGACAUAUAGUUGGCCUGACCCGGGGGACAGUUGG
Lampris incognitus (smalleye Pacific opah) is the source of this 211-nucleotide long non-coding RNA. RefSeq lists it as uncharacterized. The record is from RefSeq and is a predicted model, not a curated record. The transcript has 3 exons. Lineage: Eukaryota; Metazoa; Chordata; Actinopteri; Lampriformes; Lampridae.